GUGUUUACUUCAGCAACAUAUAUACUAAAAUUGGAACACUACAGAUAUUAGCAUGGCCCAUAAGCAAGGAUGACAGCCAAAUUUGUGAAGCAUUCCAUAUUUUU
This is a small nuclear RNA of Rattus norvegicus (Norway rat), 104 nucleotides long. Lineage: Eukaryota; Metazoa; Chordata; Mammalia; Rodentia; Muridae. The record is from Ensembl.